RNAcentral lists this long non-coding RNA (1016 nucleotides) under Lynx pardinus (Iberian lynx). The record is from RNAcentral. Lineage: Eukaryota; Metazoa; Chordata; Mammalia; Carnivora; Felidae.
UUUGGAGUUGUUGAGUCCACAGUGUGCUGGUAGGUGCUUGGGAGGAGUUCAGGCAUCUGGAUUGUUACUUUGGUCUUGUGUGGUGACAUUCUUACAGCAACCAUAUAAUCAUCUUCUAAAAGCUGUGGUCCAGGUGUAAAGAGGUUGUGGCCAUGAAGACAUGCUUUUCAUUAGAAUUGUUAUUGAGUUUUGCAAUCUGCACAUAGCAGGCAAAAUGACCAUGAGAUGGUAAUUAAUUGGUCUGUUUAUUAUUUCAGAAAGGAAGAAAAGUUCACAAUUCUGGUCAUUGCAAAGCCUCCAAAUUGGAGAUUAAAAAACAACAACAACAACAACAACAAAACCAUAAAACACUUGUGUGAACACAGAUUCCCUCCUUUCAUUUUUUAAAUGUAGAUAUUUUUUUCUUGAAUAAUGAGUGUCUUGUAGGACAAGAGGCUCUUGACUGAAAGUUGGCAUUAAAAUACUUGCUAUCUGACAGCAGUAUAAGCAGAUUGUACAAAGGAGACCACUGUUUAAUCACUGAAGUUCAAAACCAAGGUUUCUCUCUACGAAGGGUGUUUGGAGCCUCUAAAAAAUGCAACAGAUGGGUACCUCAAAUUUAAAUUCUUUUGAUAAUGAUUAAGGAUUUUCUGCUUAAAAAUGAUGAAAAUAAAACUUUCACUGACAGCCUUUGAAGAUGUCAGGAGAAGAUCUAUCAGGAAAUUAUAAAUUUUUUGUGGGUUUCAUUUUAAAGUAAAUGGUUUUUGCUUCUCUGUACUAUAUGAUGUGACUUUUCUGCAUUUUAAUAAAAGUUUUCACUUGAGCUCAUGUAAAACUCAGAAAGAAGCAAUAGUUAUAAAUAAGAGUAUAUGCAUUAUUUCUUGUACUUUUACUGAAUUGAAAAACUUGAAAAAAAAUUUAAUCUCUGGUGCAAAAAAAAUAGAGAUGGUUCCAACUGAACUGUUAAAUUAUUUAUCUUUUCUUAGUCAUUGUAUAGAAAUUUACCACCUCAAGCAAACAAAACCUACCGAUGAGCU